GUGUGUGUGUGAUUAAAACACUUACAAAAAAAAAAAAAUGCCCAGUGAUUUAGAAGUGGGUGUGUGUGACCGUGAGAACAAGACCAAGGGGGAAACCCUAUUUCUUCAAAAUCUUGCAAAUUAAAGGAGAAAAGGGCUAAAUUUUGAAUGCAUGAACUAAGAAUGAUGAUCAUCUAAGCAUACCCAACAUCAAUAUGAAUGUAUGUUGGAACGUGUCAAGGAGAGGUCAAGCAUAGGAGGAUAACGGGUCAAGAUAAGGCAAGGUGACAAAUACACUUAUUGGAGUACUCGAGGUAUGGGAUCGUUGGCUUCAUGAAGAAAUGGAGCUGGAUUUGGAUAAGAGUAUUUAAGAAAGCGCUUGGACAGUUCCACGACUACUUUAUAGAAUGCUCUACGAAAUUUUAUUAUAUAGUUUAAUGUUGAAUGGUAUGUUAAUGACUAAUGGUUUGGUUGUACGUGGUGUCCACAGGUAUCGCUUGGGUUUUCUCUACAUUUAUUGAAGUGAAGCGGACUUAGUUCGAGUUGAGAGCAAGGAUUGUACGGGGUAGAAUGGUCACAUAGUGUAACUCAUAUAGGUUUUGAAGUAUUAAUGUUAUAAAACAUUAUAAAUCCGUUUUAAUGAAUAUAUGGCAUUUCGCAUUUGAACCUUCAUGUGUUUGAUAUGUCUACUAAAGAACGAAAUUUUUGGGCUCUUGUUUUCCGCUGCGUCGUAUUUUAAGUUAUUACGCGUUAGUCUUACAGGGAAUUGUUCUUAUUACGAACGGGUCAUGCCCGAAUUUUGUUAAAUAAUAGUAUGAUAAUAUUACAUUUUGGAAUGUGUAAUUUGGGUGUAACAAGUUGGUAUCAGAGCCCUGGUUUGAGAGAAUUAAGUACGAGAGUAUAAGUACUUGAACUCAAACCUGUGUGCUCUUGUGAUAAGGAACCCGUACAAUCCAUGACUCGAUCAAGAUCUAAAGGUAGAAAUGGAACGAAAAUGUGUAAGUAUGUAUUAGAUUAUGUAUUUGAAAGAAACUAAUAGUGUGUUAUGUGCAAGGUAAGCUUAAGAGCUUGAAGAGGAUGAUCCGUGAAUACAGAAUAGGAUGAACGCUAAGGCGGGCAAAGGUGCAAAUAGGCAAAUUAACCCCAGGUACACAUUACUAAUAUGUAUGAGUACCGAUGUCAAAAGAAAAAGGAAGGGGUCUCCUUGGGAGGGAAAUUAUUAAACGAAAGACAAUGAUGUGGUCUUGGGGAAGUUUUAGAAAUGUGCACGAAACUGAAACCCAUUUCUCGGGCAUAAGGCGAUGAUUACACGAAGGCACGAAACUAGUGUGUGAAUUGCGCACCUGGCCAGUACGCAAGAAGCAUAUGACGUUCGUGAGACCGUGGCAAUUAUUGCAGGUAUGUCCGGUAGAACUGGGUAGCAGGUGGGCGCUAUGUUGUAGCGAAUGCGAAAUAGCAAAUCCAUUGCGGAUUUGGUUAUGCUAACGAAGGUUAUGAAAAGUUAGGCGAGUCGACCGGUUCUAGCGAACAAGUCGAAUAAGAAUAAGCUACCAUCCGUUUUGAACGGGUGAUUUUGAAUGCUCUAAUGAAUGCUAGAAGCUUAAUCCGUGAUACGGAUUGAAAGAAGAAGUUAUGAUUAAAUGCGAAAAACCCAGUUAUUUGGGUAGUGGAAAAUGUGUAUGCUUAACUCUCGUUGAGAGUGUUUAUGCCAAACCCAAUUAUUUGGGUAAUGGAAUGUGUAUGCUUAACUCUCGUUGAGAGUGUUUAUGCCAAACCCAAUUAUUUGGGUAGUGGAAUAUGUAUGCUUAACUCUCGUUGAGAGUGUUUAUGCCAAACCCAAUUAUUUGGGUAGUGGAAUGUGUAUGCUUAACUCUCCUUGAGAGUGUUUAUGCCGAAACCCAAUUAUUUGGGUAGUCGAAUGUGUAUGCUUAACUCUCUUUGAGAGUGUUUAUGCCAAACCCAAUUACUUGGGUAGUCGAAUGU
Molecule: long non-coding RNA, 1962 nt
Filed under: Helianthus annuus (common sunflower)
Lineage: Eukaryota; Viridiplantae; Streptophyta; Magnoliopsida; Asterales; Asteraceae
Description: hypothetical non coding rna
Source: RNAcentral